AUUGAACGCUGGCGGCAGGCCUAACACAUGCAAGUCGAGCGGAUGAAGGGAGCUUGCUCCUGGAUUCAGCGGCGGACGGGUGAGUAAUGCCUAGGAAUCUGCCUGGUAGUGGGGGAUAACGUCCGGAAACGGGCGCUAAUACCGCAUACGUCCUGAGGGAGAAAGUGGGGGAUCUUCGGACCUCACGCUAUCAGAUGAGCCUAGGUCGGAUUAGCCAGUUGGUGGGGUAAAGGCCUACCAAGGCGACGAUCCGUAACUGGUCUGAGAGGAUGAUCAGUCACACUGGAACUGAGACACGGUCCAGACUCCUACGGGAGGCAGCAGUGGGGAAUAUUGGACAAUGGGCGAAAGCCUGAUCCAGCCAUGCCGCGUGUGUGGAGAAGGUCUUCGGAUUGUAAAGCACUUUAAGUUGGGAGGAAGGGCAGUAAGUUAAUACCUUGCUGUUUUGACGUUACCAACAGAAUAAGCACCGGCUAACUUCGUG
This 484-nucleotide ribosomal RNA is filed under the name uncultured bacterium. RNAcentral describes it as "partial 16S ribosomal RNA". It matches the Rfam family "Bacterial small subunit ribosomal RNA", at positions 30 to 507 of the family's 1533-position model. The record is from RNAcentral.